Molecule: long non-coding RNA, 1897 nt
Organism: Lepisosteus oculatus (spotted gar)
Lineage: Eukaryota; Metazoa; Chordata; Actinopteri; Semionotiformes; Lepisosteidae
Source: RefSeq, a predicted model, not a curated record
AUUUCACUCCCAGGAAUCUAUGAUACAGAAUCGUCAUCCAUUUAUUCUCAUCUUUCUCUCUCACCUUAUACCUCUUAUCUAAUUAUAUGAAGACUCCAGAGGGAGGUCCACUGCAACAUUAACGUGCACAUUAACUUGCGCGACUCAAAGAGGAAGUGAGGAAUCGCAUUGCUGGCAUAUUUUUUAAACGUCCGUAAUUUCAAUCAGUUGUUUUGUAUGGGAGAGUUGGUUUCUUAUUUUAGAAAUGCAAUUGUACUAGAACAUCAGCUUGAUGCAAAGGAACAAACGACUAUUGCUCGGUAAAUUAUUUACGGCGACUUGCUGCGGACGCUAUACAGUGCGAUCCAGUGCCGGUCAACGGCUCGGCCAUUGCUGCAGGUACGCAGUCCCGUACUGUACCUGAGCACACACUCGGCGAGAUCAGCACCUUGGACAGAGCUAAGAGGAGACUGCUGUGGAAUCGCAAAGAAAUCGAAACCGUGCUGCCACGAAUGAGACCCAGCGUCACCAGCUGAGAAGCAGCCCUUCAGCCCCAGUGCAGCCGGCGUGUCUUGGUACCCACGCCGAACCUGAAGAGGUCGCUUUCCAAGGGUGGGAAGGCAUGGGUCGGCUGAGCGGCGUGUCGAAUCAGGACCAUCUGUCAGCCUCACUCCAGAAAGAGUUGCGAUCCAUUUGCGUCCUCCAGAGAGAAACCGAAUUCUCACCUCCCUUAUAAAAACGAUGUCAUUAUAUUUCCAAAAUAUUUAUUUAAGGUUAACAAUAUGACAAAAGACUAAUAUCCACAAUUCAUUAAGUAAAAAUCAUGAUAAUCAUCCCUUACAUCCAGCUGGAGGCAGAUGAUGACUUGAAUGCUUUGCCUUCUGAUAAAGCACCAGAUGUUUUAAAGAAACCUAAUCUAAUUGAUCAAAAACCUAUUUGAUUUACAUUUUGCAAAAGAAUGUGCAAAAUGUGCAGAAAAUGUGAUCAAUGUAUUCUUUAUAAAACCUCAUAGAUAAUUUUAUAUUAAAAAUCAGAGAUCUCAUGCCUAAUAGGACAAGUUGUAUGUACAGUAUCCAAUGGAUAAAGAAAUAUUUUAAAAUCAGAUACAGUACAUCACAAAAAUAUUGUAGAGUGCUUAGCAGCUUCCUGUCCUAUGUUAACUUAGUAAUAUGAAUGGAAGUCCUUAUGGCAAAACCUAUUUAUAUUAUUUUGCUCUAACAAGCCAGUCUCCAACCACUUCUUAGAGAAUUCUACAUUUUGCAAGGGAACACGCUAUUGAGUCAAAGCACUGAGGGAUAUUUUUAAGAUAUUCAGGAUUGUGAUGAUUAUUUCUUAACCUUUAAUUUUAAAUCCCAACUGUAUUUAUAUUGGAACAACUAUGUUGUAUUGAUCAUGAAAGUAUCUUUUAUCACUACUUUACAGUAUUAUUUAUCAGGAUUGUACCAAUCUACAGUACAUUACUCCAGUGUAUUCACAUAACACUAUUUCUGAGAAUCAGCGUCGAUUUGACCUCUCUGGCACAAUAACACACGAGACCGAAUAAAAUAUAUUAUACAAAAAAAAAACAUUCUGCACGUUUUAUUGGCUGCUGUAAGCAUUGCUACGUGCAGUACUGGAGGUGACAGGCAGUGACAGGUGGUCAGAUAGAAUUGUGUAGCACGUGCACUAACCUGCAGUGGGUGCAAAUUGCUUUUACUCCAGUGAGGUGCCAAGUCCAAGCCAGGCAUGCUGGGUUUUGGUGUGUAGCAUCUGCGAUGGUGUGCUCAAAUCCAUGUGGCAGUAUAGCGGUACAUUCUCUAUUGUUCCAUUUACAAACGCUGUUCUAUUACUGUUUCCUAUUUGUAUCUACUGUGUGUUCAUAUACAUAUAUAUAUAUUUUGUAUGUCUGUGCAAUCUUAGAUUAAAUUAAUAACAUUUA